This 73-nucleotide transfer RNA is filed under the name Operophtera brumata (winter moth). It matches the Rfam family "tRNA". Rfam says of the family: Transfer RNA (tRNA) molecules are approximately 80 nucleotides in length. Their secondary structure includes four short double-helical elements and three loops (D, anti-codon, and T loops). The record is from Rfam by way of RNAcentral. Lineage: Eukaryota; Metazoa; Arthropoda; Insecta; Lepidoptera; Geometridae.
CGUUCUAUUGCCGAAUUGGUAAAGGCAUCGCCGAUCACAGGCGAGGGUGCGGGUUCGAGUCCCGGUGGAACGA